UUGGAAAUAAUUUUUCACUUUAUAUUAACGCUUUAAAUGUUAGUUAAUAUGUUUUGUUGUUUUAUUUUUUAGUUCUUUAUGAAUAAAAUUAAUCAAUAAAUUGAUAUUAGUCAAAACCCCGUUUAUAAAAUAACGCUGGUCAGGGGAAGUAAUUGUUGCGGGUCUAUGAUUUUGUUUGUUGUCUAUGAUUAUCGUUCGUACAAAUGGUGGCGCUGUUUGGAAAAUUUGAAAACAACACGAUUGGCAAUUUAUUUGCAUUUCGAAGAUCCUGGUCCUGGCUGAAAUUUAGAGUAUUGCAGCUGUAGUCUGUAUACCAUACAUUCAACAUGAAAAGGACUGUCAGGAUGCUGCAUAAAAUGGUCUUAGCUAGAGCCUAGAAUGUUAAUUUCUUGGGAAAUUGCUGCAAGGAACUGACGGGGAUCAGUUUUUCUUACCAAUCAUAGAAGCAGUAAGAGACAGCCAAAGAAGUACUCAAACACCUAACAUACCCAGAAAGAUCUAGAAGAAAAGAUUGGAACAGAUUGUAGCUUAAUUGUUAAAACUAUUAAAGUGAAUUUAAGCUGCACUUGAACUGUAUUUUUUAAAUAAAAUAUCUGAAGUAUUUAAUAUUGUCUUGAUAUUUUGUUAAACUUUGUAACUUUGCUUUAUAUCCAAAA
Long non-coding RNA from Ruditapes philippinarum (Manila clam), 656 nucleotides. RefSeq lists it as uncharacterized. Lineage: Eukaryota; Metazoa; Mollusca; Bivalvia; Venerida; Veneridae. The transcript is spliced from 4 exons. The record is from RefSeq and is a predicted model, not a curated record.